CAGCAGCCGCGGUAAUACAGAGGGUGCGAGCGUUAAUCGGAUUUACUGGGCGUAAAGCGUGCGUAGGCGGCUUCUUAAGUCGGAUGUGAAAUCCCUGAGCUUAACUUAGGAAUUGCAUUCGAUACUGGGAAGCUAGAGUAUGGGAGAGGAUGGUAGAAUUCCAGGUGUAGCAGUGAAAUGCGUAGAGAUCGGAAGGAACAUCUGUGGCGAAGGCGACUAUCUGGGCCAACACUGACACUGAGGCACGAAAGCGUGGGGAGCAAACAGGAUUAGAUACCCCUGUAGUCCCUGUCUCUUAUAC
RNAcentral lists this ribosomal RNA (301 nucleotides) under uncultured bacterium. RNAcentral describes it as "partial 16S ribosomal RNA". It matches the Rfam family "Bacterial small subunit ribosomal RNA", at positions 509 to 807 of the family's 1533-position model. The record is from RNAcentral.